This is a long non-coding RNA of Oreochromis niloticus (Nile tilapia), 323 nucleotides long. RefSeq lists it as uncharacterized. The record is from RefSeq and is a predicted model, not a curated record. The transcript is spliced from 2 exons. NCBI's taxonomy places the organism in Eukaryota, Metazoa, Chordata, Actinopteri, Cichliformes, Cichlidae.
CACUUUUUUCUGCUUCACUCUGCACGUGAGCCUUGUGCUUGCGCUGAGCAGAGGGGGGAACGGCGGUAGUCACACUCGCAGUAGCACAGGAACAGCGGAAGGAAAGACAGAGAAAGAGAGCCAGGGACAACAACGUCACAUUAGAAAGACCAUGUUUCUGUCAGGGGUCGUGUGCGGAGGCGAGGAAGAGAUGACCCACACGCAGGACUCUUGGUGCAGAAUGAGGAGGUUUAUUGGAAACGGGGACAAAAGAUGACAGGAUGGCUGGCGGAACUUAAUGGACUGGUAGACUAGCUGGCUUACUGAACUGGACACGCGACAGG